GUGGGGAAUAUUGCACAAUGGGCGGAAGCCUGAUGCAGCGACGCCGCGUGGGGGAUGACGGUCUUCGGAUUGUAAACCCCUUUCAGUAGGGACGAAGCGCAAGUGACGGUACCUGCAGAAGAAGCACCGGCCAACUACGUGCCAGCAGCCGCGGUAAUACGUAGGGUGCGAGCGUUGUCCGGAAUUACUGGGCGUAAAGAGCUCGUAGGCGGUUUGUCACGUCGUCUGUGAAAUCCUCCAGCUUAACUGGGGGCGUGCAGGCGAUACGGGCAGACUUGAGUACUACAGGGGAGACUGGAAUUCCUGGUGUAGCGGUGAAAUGCGCAGAUAUCAGGAGGAACACCGGUGGCGAAGGCGGGUCUCUGGGUAGUAACUGACGCUGAGGAGCGAAAGCAUGGGUAGCGAACAGGAUUAGAAACCCUAGUAGUCC
This 430-nucleotide ribosomal RNA is filed under the name uncultured bacterium. RNAcentral describes it as "bacterial SSU rRNA". It matches the Rfam family "Bacterial small subunit ribosomal RNA", at positions 354 to 796 of the family's 1533-position model. The record is from RNAcentral.